UUCCAUAGGAGAUCGACACGAUUUCUAUGAAUUUUUCACCUUUAAUUGUACAUAAAUGAUAAAUAUCACAAGGGUUAUUUAUUAGAUACAUGUCGCCAUUGUGGUAAAGCUGGCUGGAUUUGAUGGGCUUAUCCGACACCUUUUACGUUUAAGCUCAAAAGGGAAAAGAUAUCAGAACAGGAAUCCUGUAAACUGCUUACCUUAUUCAAAUUAAACUGCAGAAAGAAUUGUGAUCAACUUUUUUUUGAAAGAUGAAUAAUUUGGGAAGUCCGAAUGUGUACAUCUUAAGCGCAGCUGAUGGAGGCGGUGGGGGUG
Folsomia candida is the source of this 315-nucleotide long non-coding RNA. RefSeq lists it as uncharacterized. The record is from RefSeq and is a predicted model, not a curated record. NCBI's taxonomy places the organism in Eukaryota, Metazoa, Arthropoda, Collembola, Entomobryomorpha, Isotomidae. The transcript is spliced from 4 exons.